GGCGGCGUGCUUAACACAUGCAAGUCGAGCGAUGAAGCUUCUCGGAAGUGGAUUAGCGGCGGACGGGUGAGUAACACGUGGGUAACCUGCCUCAUAGAGGGGGAAUAGCCUUUCGAAAGGAAGAUUAAUACCGCAUAAGAUUGUAGUACCGCAUGGUACAGCAAUUAAAGGAGUAAUCCGCUAUGAGAUGGACCCGCGUCGCAUUAGCUAGUUGGUGAGGUAACGGCUCACCAAGGCGACGAUGCGUAGCCGACCUGAGAGGGUGAUCGGCCACAUUGGGACUGAGACACGGCCCAGACUCCUACGGGAGGCAGCAGUGGGGAAUAUUGCACAAUGGGGGAAACCCUGAUGCCAGCAACGCCGCGUGAGUGAUGACGGUCUUCGGAUUGUAAAGCUCUGUCUUUAGGGACGAUAAUGACGGUACCUAAGGAGGAAGCCACGGCUAACUACGUGCCAGCCGCCGC
Molecule: ribosomal RNA, 464 nt
Filed under: uncultured bacterium
Lineage: Bacteria
Description: bacterial SSU rRNA
Rfam family: Bacterial small subunit ribosomal RNA
Source: RNAcentral